Molecule: long non-coding RNA, 2532 nt
Organism: Girardinichthys multiradiatus
Lineage: Eukaryota; Metazoa; Chordata; Actinopteri; Cyprinodontiformes; Goodeidae
Exons: 4
Source: RefSeq, a predicted model, not a curated record
GAAUACACAAACUCCCUGCAAAAAGCCCACAACCCACAUUAGGACCCAGCCAUAAUCUUAGUACUUUUUAAGUUCAUAUAAACAUCUUAAGAAGUUCUUUCAGAAGAACUGAUUCUAGCUUAGUAAUAUAAAAAAAAAAAAAAAGUUUAUUUUCAAAUCUUUUCCCUAUAUCUCAAGUAGCUUCGAUUUUAUAAAAUCUAUUCUGUCAGCGAGAGCUAUACAUAGAUUUUAAAUGAUCCACUUCUACUCCUGACAUCAUUUAACAGGAUGUCAGUAGCAGCAAAUGCCACUCUUAGUUUAUGGGCUUGUAUCUGGAGAUGAGCAUUGUGAGAACUACAUUUUCAGCAUUUUUUUAAAGUACCAGGUUAUAAUGAUGUAAAUAAUUGAGGCCUUUUUCCACCUUUAAUUUCACAAAUAUGCUGUUUAUUUCAACUAAAAAAUAAAUAUCUUUGAGGGAAAUAUAGAAAAAGGUCUGUAAUAACCUGGUAGCAUAAGUGUGCACACCUUGAAGCAAAAACUUUGAAAUCUGUCUGUUAAUUUUAUUCAGCAUUCAGUCUUUUUGGUUGAACUGCAAUCAAUUAUAGUGAAUCUGAUUAACCCGAAAUUCAACUCAGUUGUUCCUUAGUAUCUUCUCACAUUUCAUCUUAUUUGCAUCCUUUUCUGCUUAAACCUUAUUUCAUAGUUUGCGGAGAGGUUAAAGAGAAGGAGCUUAAUGAUCUCAAUGUACACAUGUACCAAUCAAAGAAAAUAGCAGAAACAAACUAUGGCGCAGUGAAAACAGUCUUCAGUAACUUAACUCUUUCAGGAGAUUCUACUAUUCUGUACAUUUGGGUUGUCCUUAUGUGCCCCAUUUAGUUUUCCUUUUAAACCAACAUUGUUCAACCAAAAUGUUACAAACGUCCAUGCAGAAACAGCAUCGCAAACAUUUCAAAUUCAUCUUUUAAGUAUUCUUUGUGUUGCACAUUACUGAAUGGACAUUAUGAGGAUAUUUUACUGAUUUCUUAAAAGAAAUUGUGCAGUUCAAACCUCAAAAAUGAAAUUGAUCAAAUUUAACCAAAAUAUUUUUAUUAUAUCUUUAUAUUUGGUCCAUUUCUAUGUUUAUGGUUAAAAUAAAAAAAUCUUUUUAAUGCUACAAGGCUUCAGUAAAUUGCUGCAAUAGAUGAGAAUGUUCACAUAAAAACUGCAACUGUUACAACUGUCUCCUAACUUUCAGUUUCCUCCUUCCCUCUGUUGGCGCUUUAGGUUUUUGUGUCAGAUUUUUUCACAGUGAUAUUGGGCACACUGAUGUACACCAAUACAAAAACCUCAGAACAAAAGUCUGAAUGUCACCCAUUAUAAUUUACAGAAAAACAUGUACAAUAUCACACAUAUAUGGUUGGAAUAUGAGGUAAGAACACAGUGUUACCAAAACAAAAGCCAUUUUAAUAAAUUGACUGAUAUUUACAAGUUAAACAAUCACAAGUUUUCAGUUCAUAGAGUACAGACAGUAUUUUGAAUUUUUUAUUUUAUCACAUGAUGGAGAAUUGACACAAAGUGGCAUUCACAGUCAUUAAAUGAGAAUAUCCAUCUCAUCAGAUUUCCCCUGUGUAAAAACUCUUUUAUGAAACUCUCCAGGUGUUAUGCUGUUUUUUUUAGGUGCCUCAGGUUUUUGUUCAAGGAGUGAGUGAAGAUGAAGCACUGUGAUGUUUAGACUACUGGGGGAAUGGAACAACUGUAACGGUUCUGCCAGAUACAAAUUCUCCCUCUGUUCCACCGACCCUUUUUGUCCUGAGUCCCCUGCAGACUCCUGGCUACCCCCUGAAGACAGCAGACGAAGUCGUUCCAAAGGUCUGUCUGGUCACAGAUUUCCAUUCGAAGGGGGAUGACGUGGUUCUGAAUCUGAGAGGAGGUCCGUUCAACGUGAGCACUGAUAAAGUUGUUCUGUCAAACAACAACACCUACUACUUUGCUGCAUUCAGCAAUGAAACCAUCUACUCAUGUAGCAUGAACAGGAUGAUUGGCAACAAUGAAGCAGAUGAUGCAUGUGGGAACAUUUAUCCAGAAAAAGCCAAGCUGAACUUCUACCUGCUGCUGAUGAACGAAGUCUGAGUGGUGUUCACCAAAGCUCUGGCCUUCAGCACCGUUAUCACCAUCAGAGGCCUGCUCUUCUAACACUGACCCUUCAAGGCCACCAUGCAGGCUGUCAGUAAAGCACACCAACUUACCUGUAGAGGAAAACUGUUCAUGCAAUUCAAAUUUAAAUCCAUGAUCUUUCAAAAGGCAAUACAAAAAACAUCACCACUGAGGUGACUAGGGUCACUUAUACAGUCUGAAACCUGCAUACAAAACACACAUAAAAGUCUUAUUAUUUUUUAAUUUAGCAGUUUGUGCCAAUGGUGAGAAAUAUGUCUUUAAAAUACCUUAUGAACAGAAAUGCAUUUAUUACAAAAAUAAAUAUUCUACAAUACUUGGCUUAAAAAACAUUUACAAAUUGAAUUAAAGAAUAUAUGAAAUAAAUUAAAUAUCUGACUUUGUUGUCAGUUUAUAAAAACA